This is a small nuclear RNA of Camelus dromedarius (Arabian camel), 104 nucleotides long. Lineage: Eukaryota; Metazoa; Chordata; Mammalia; Artiodactyla; Camelidae. The record is from Ensembl.
GUGCUCGCUUCAGCAGCACAUAUACUAAAAUUGGAAUGAUACGGAGAUUAGCAUGGCCCCUGUGCAAGGAUGACACGCAAAUUCAUGAAGCAUUCCAUAUUUUU